Non-coding RNA from Leucoraja erinaceus (little skate), 1185 nucleotides. Lineage: Eukaryota; Metazoa; Chordata; Chondrichthyes; Rajiformes; Rajidae. The record is from the annotation of a RefSeq genome assembly.
GUUGUUCUUCUCCUUUUCCCAACUUGAUACCAUUUAGAUACUAAUCCGCCUUCCCGUUUUUGCUACCAAAGUGCAUAACCUCACAUUUAUCUACAUUAGACUGCAUCUGCCGUGCAUCUGCCCACUCACCCAACCUGUCCAAGUCACCCUGCAUGCCCAUAGCAUCCUCCUUACAGUUCACGCAAUGAACGGGGUUUAUGGGUUGCACCCAGCAAAGUGACAGGCAUAGCUGGGUCCCAUCCGAUUGCCCAGGGCUACGCCUUGCAUUUGGAGGAAGUGGGAGGAGUAGAAGAAAAAGUUUUCGCGAGGUCGUCGCCGGUCAAUUAAAAAUAUUACUUAGGAAUCCUAGAGGGAUCUGUAUCUAUCUCUAUACAUCUAUCUGUCUAUCAACCUCAAUCCAUCCAUCUCUCUCCAUCCAUGUAUCUUGGCCGGCCUGGGCAAUAUGGGCGGGAGAGUCCAUUUUCGCGCUGUACAACUCUAUGAUUUUUGCCCCGUGUUCGUUCCUCCGACGACUGUUGACCAUUCUCCAAUUGCAUUGCAGGAAGAGGGCGGGGACUGAGUCAGCCACACGCCUCCCGCGGCAGCUCUUCUCGCUUGACAUUCGCUCAUCUCUGCUCUGCCGCCACAGUAUCCGCCCGCAGUAGACGGCGGUGCCGCGCAGUUUCAUGAGAUGGCUGACAAUUUGUUCCUCUUCGUCGUGUUCUCGCUGGCUCUCGGUUCAUGCCGGGCGGAUGAGAUCCAACAGUCGCCCAACUCCCUCAGCGUUAGGGAGGGCGAAUCCGGGGAGAUGAGUUGUGUACAGACGGGAACGGUCCGUGACUACAUGAUGUGGUACCGUCAGACUGAGGGAGCCGGAUUGGCGCUGAUUGGGAACGUCUAUAGUAGCCAGGAACCUCAGUACGAAAAGGGAUUUCAGAGCGGGUUCUUAAUCAGCGCGGAAGCGGGAAACAAGAGAUUCAAUCUCCAGAUCCGCAGCGUGAGCGACAGAGAUGAGGCGCGAUAUUUUUGCGCAGCUAAAGAAGGUACACAGCGACUCAGAGAGGAAUAGAGCAUGAGCAAAAACCCCACACAGAACACCAAAAGAGUAAAGCAAAGGAAAAGUGCCACCGGGUCACAAUGUCCCUUCCUGACAAGACGCCGAGUUAAACUGGUCUCUCCUUCCUGGACAUGGAUCAUAUCCCUCCA